CGGCGGACGGGUGAGUAACACGUGGAUAACCUACCUAUAAGACUGGGAUAACUUCGGGAAACCGGAGCUAAUACCGGAUAAUAUAUUGAACCGCAUGGUUCAAUAGUGAAAGACGGUUUUGCUGUCACUUAUAGAUGGAUCCGCGCCGCAUUAGCUAAUUGGUAAGGUAACGGCUUACCAAGGCAACGAUGCGUAGCCGACCUGAGAGGGUGAUCGGCCACACUGGAACUGAGACACGGUCCAGACUCCUACGGGAGGCAGCAGGC
Molecule: ribosomal RNA, 266 nt
Filed under: uncultured Staphylococcus sp.
Lineage: Bacteria; Bacillati; Bacillota; Bacilli; Caryophanales; Staphylococcaceae
Description: partial 16S ribosomal RNA
Rfam family: Bacterial small subunit ribosomal RNA
Source: RNAcentral